This 552-nucleotide ribosomal RNA is filed under the name Triticum aestivum (bread wheat). RNAcentral describes it as "partial small subunit ribosomal RNA". Lineage: Eukaryota; Viridiplantae; Streptophyta; Magnoliopsida; Poales; Poaceae. The record is from RNAcentral.
AUGGCUAUUGGUAUUCCUCCUCUCAACAAAUGGAGCAGCAAGCACCUUGUAGUCGCAGGUAGCACAGGAACCCUGGUCGUCAUCGCCAUAGCGGCCGUCAUCAUCAUCAGCCUAUCGCCGCCGCAAGUCUUCUUCUCCAUCCAGGAUGCGAAGCUGCUAGAUGGGCGGUACAAGGAGCAAAAAUUCUACACCUUCAGCCUGUCAGCCAACAACACCAGCCGGCGCAUGCAGACGCACUACACCAACGUUGACGCCGUGAUAUGGAUAGAUCCGACUAAGUGGUAUCCCGCCGAGGUGAACAUGAGCGGGUUCCAGUUCCAGCAGUACGUCCAGCCGCCACGGAAUGUGACCAAGGUGCCAUGGCGCGCCCAGUGGGCGCAGUAUGAUAACCCGACGGAGGGCGGCGGUGGCAGCGCUGGGCACUGGCCCAACUGCACGGUGGUGGUGAUGGCCAAGAUCAACCAUGCCAAUCUCCACAUGAAAAAUCACAGCUACAGAUGUUGGGGAUUUGGUCCCAGCCUUAGAAAAGAAAAGGUAGAAGAAGCAUAUUAA